This 172-nucleotide non-coding RNA is filed under the name Clostridium sulfidigenes. RNAcentral's name for it is "Lysine sequence". It matches the Rfam family "Lysine riboswitch aptamer". Rfam says of the family: Riboswitches are metabolite binding domains within certain messenger RNAs that serve as precision sensors for their corresponding targets. Allosteric rearrangement of mRNA structure is mediated by ligand binding, and this results in modulation of gene expression. The record is from Rfam by way of RNAcentral. Lineage: Bacteria; Bacillati; Bacillota; Clostridia; Eubacteriales; Clostridiaceae.
AUUUAGGGUAGAGGAGCUUUUACCAAAAGUAUUCUUGAGAAGUGGGCACACGAUGAUACAAGAAGAAAGGGGAGAAAAGCCGAAGAGAAUAACCUGGCAAGGAUAUUCUCUGGGAUAGUACAAAAUAUGUGCUAUACUGCCACUAUGAAAAUAGUGGAGAGCUACAAAGUAA